UUGCUCUUCUUGGAUGAGUUGCGAACGGGUGAGUAACGCGUAGGUAACCUGCCUUGUAGCGGGGGAUAACUAUUGGAAACGAUAGCUAAUACCGCAUAACAAUGGAUGACACAUGUCAUUUAUUUGAAAGGGGCAAUUGCUCCACUACAAGAUGGACCUGCGUUGUAUUAGCUAGUAGGUGAGGUAAUGGCUCACCUAGGCGACGAUACAUAGCCGACCUGAGAGGGUGAUCGGCCACACUGGGACUGAGACACGGCCCAGACUCCUACGGGAGGCAGCAGUAGGGAAUCUUCGGCAAUGGGGGCAACCCUGACCGAGCAACGCCGCGUGAGUGAAGAAGGUUUUCGGAUCGUAAAGCUCUGUUGUAAGUCAAGAACGGGUGUGAGAGUGGAAAGUUCACACUGUGACGGUAGCUUACCAGAAAGGGACGGCUAACUACGUGCCAGCAGCCGCGGUAAUACGUAGGUCCCGAGCGUUGUCCGGAUUUAUUGGGCGUAAAGCGAGCGCAGGCGGUUUGAUAAGUCUGAAGUUAAAGGCUGUGGCUCAACCAUAGUUCGCUUUGGAAACUGUCAAACUUGAGUGCAGAAGGGGAGAGUGGAAUUCCAUGUGUAGCGGUGAAAUGCGUAGAUAUAUGGAGGAACACCGGUGGCGAAAGCGGCUCUCUGGUCUGUAACUGACGCUGAGGCUCGAAAGCGUGGGGAGCGAACAG
Molecule: ribosomal RNA, 709 nt
Filed under: Streptococcus thermophilus
Lineage: Bacteria; Bacillati; Bacillota; Bacilli; Lactobacillales; Streptococcaceae
Description: bacterial SSU rRNA
Rfam family: Bacterial small subunit ribosomal RNA
Source: RNAcentral